AACGCGAAGAACCUUACCCAGACUUGACAUGCAGUGGACCGCAUCAGAAAUGGUGCUUCCCUUCGGGGCCGCUGCACAGGUGCUGCAUGGCUGUCGUCAGCUCGUGCCGUGAGGUGUUGGGUUAAGUCCCGCAACGAGCGCAACCCUUAUCACUAGUUGCCAACACGUAAUGGUGGGAACUCUAGUGAGACUGCCCGGGUUAACCGGGAGGAAGGUGAGGAUGACGUCAAGUCCGCAUGGCCCUUAUGUCUGGGGCUACACACGUACUACAAUGGUCGGUACAGAAGGCAGCGCAGCCGCGAGGUGUAGCCAAUCCCAAAAGCCGAUCUCAGUUCAGAUUGUAGUCUGCAACUCGACUACAUGAAGACGGAAUUGCUAGUAAUGGCAGGUCAGCACACUGCCGUGAAUACGUUCCCGGGCCUUGUACACACCGCUACAGU
RNAcentral lists this ribosomal RNA (440 nucleotides) under uncultured bacterium. RNAcentral describes it as "bacterial SSU rRNA". It matches the Rfam family "Bacterial small subunit ribosomal RNA", at positions 958 to 1401 of the family's 1533-position model. The record is from RNAcentral.